GAUGAAGAACGUAGCGAAAUGCGAUAAGUAAUGUGAAUUGCAGAAUUCAGUGAAUCAUCGAAUCUUUGAACGCACAUUGCGCCCCCUGGUAUUCCGGGGGGCAUGCCUGUUCGAGCGUCAUUUCACCACUCAAGCCUCGCUUGGUAUUGGGCAACGCGGUCCGCCGCGUGCCUCAAAUCGACCGGCUGGGUCUUCUGUCCCCUAAGCGUUGUGGAAACUAUUCGCUAAAGGGUGUUCGGGAGGCUACGCCGUAAAACAACCCCAUUUCUAAGGUUGACCUCGGAUCUGGUAGGGAUACCCGCUGAACUUAAGCAUAUCAAUAAGCGGAGGA
This 331-nucleotide unclassified non-coding RNA is filed under the name soil metagenome. RNAcentral describes it as "partial contains 5.8S ribosomal RNA, internal transcribed spacer 2, and large subunit ribosomal RNA". The stretch from base 1 to 120 matches the Rfam family "5.8S ribosomal RNA", at positions 35 to 154 of the family's 154-position model. The record is from RNAcentral.